RNAcentral lists this small RNA (58 nucleotides) under Caenorhabditis elegans. RNAcentral's name for it is "Unclassified non-coding RNA C09D4.8". Lineage: Eukaryota; Metazoa; Nematoda; Chromadorea; Rhabditida; Rhabditidae. The record is from RNAcentral.
ACAAAUUUUAAUUGGCCUCUUUGAGGUGUGAUAUUGAAACAACAUUUGGGGAAGAAAA